CUUCUGCCACUUGGACAUCAUCUGGGUGAACACUCCUGACAGACAGCUCCUUACGGCCUGGGAAACCCGCCAAGACGCCGGCGCCGCUCCCUGCCAAGGCGCUGUCAGUGCUCCAGUGCCAGGGACCCCGCCUGUGCCACCUUCUGCCUUCGAAGGCCCUGACUGAAGCCGGGGCAGUCCCAAGCCGGAAGUCCCCUGCAGACGUGUUCCAGACUGGCAAGACAGGGGCCACUACAGGAGAGCUUCUCCAAAGGCUGAGGACAUUUCCACAGUCAAGAGCCUCUUUGCCAAGCGACAACAGGAGGC
RNAcentral lists this long non-coding RNA (306 nucleotides) under Homo sapiens (human). RNAcentral's name for it is "non-protein coding lnc-EDN2-2:5". Lineage: Eukaryota; Metazoa; Chordata; Mammalia; Primates; Hominidae. The record is from RNAcentral.